AAGAAAUUAGUUAAACCAUAACAUUAGUUUGUCAUACUAAAAUUAUUAGCCUCUAAUAUUUUUUA
RNAcentral lists this transfer RNA (65 nucleotides) under Ochthebius yoshitomii. Its description in RNAcentral is "tRNA-Asp". Lineage: Eukaryota; Metazoa; Arthropoda; Insecta; Coleoptera; Hydraenidae. The record is from RNAcentral.